AGUUGACACGUCAAUCUCUGACAAACGUGCCAAGACAUGAAGUCCGCUGUCCUCCGCCAGCUCUCCUGCUGCUGCUUUUCUGAAGAUAAGAAGAAACUAAAGAGAAAAGGAUUUGAGGCCCAAGUGAGUCUGAGGUGCUCCGAGUUUCUCCAUCAUCAGCUUCAGCUCCAUCAGAUCGAUGAAGUUAUCUUUCUCUGAAUCAUACCUGCGCACACGCACAACAAGCAAACAAGGCAAUCCCAUCAUGCACCCUGCUCAUGAAUAAAGAGUGCGUCUCCAUCUGCCUCAGAGACACGGCUACUGUAUUCCUGUCUUCCGACACAAGACUCCCCGCUGAUGCCAGGUCUCUCACACACACAUAAAACUGCAUCUCUUCUCAUUAACCCUGUAUCACUGACAUCUUCUCAUCACUAAUUCAAAGGCCAAAAGAGUGUGUGCAUGUUCAGGGCCACAAAAUCUCUCAAAUUAACUCCUUGUGUUGUGGCAUGUGACAUAUCAGGCUAACCUUGAUCACAGCGCUCUGAAAAAUGCUGUUUAAUGAAGGCUUGCCAUUGUGGAGCAUCUUGUUUCUCUGUGGAUGCUGCUAUCCUGGGUUUGGUUGAAGAUUACAGUACAGCAGCGGUUUAUCAAACUAAUGUGAUUUCAAGGCAAGCGAGAUUGAGUUGUUAUUUUUGAAAAGCAAAAUCAGAUCACUUGAGAAACGAGCAACCGGUGUCCACAGUGGUUUCAAAUUAAUAAUUUACGUCUGCAUAUGGCUAGUCUGUUUAACAAAAGAAAGGUCAAGCAGGCUCAGUUCAAUUAAAGGUCAGCUGUAAUUUAAAUCCAGCAUGUUUAAUUAUGCAGUCAACUCCUGAAAUCACAUAUGCUUACUUCUAAAUGAGACCUCGUGCUUUAGAAUGAACCAGAUGACCAAAGAUAACCGUUCUUUGCAUUUUAUUGUUACGAGUCGAGUGGAAUCACUUGGUGUCAUUUCCUCUCAAUCAUACUCAACAGACGCUUUUAGCCUGAACUCGGUUAAUUAUGACUUUUGGUCUCCUGGUUUAUCAACCAAUUCUAUUAUACAUAGAUAUGCAAUACAAGAAAUAUAUUGCAAAACCUAACAACCAAUAACAAUUUUCAGGUGUGCGAUAUGUAUAGUCUGUGAUAAUAUCGCAACUUUUUUUUAACGAUGUGUGAUUUGACAUUGAGUAUUUUGCAAAAAAACAUUCAAAACUCUUCUACAGAGUGCACACAUACCUUACUUGAUGUCUAGACUAGUGUGCAUGCACAUUUAGGGUGUUCUUUCACUGCAUGAUUCAGUCUGAUGAAAUGCUUUUAAAUUAAAUCACAAAUUCAAGACAUGGGGGCAGAAAAUGUAUAUAUUUAUACCAUGUUGCUGUUAUUUAAUCAUAGUCACACAAAGAGUGCAGUUUUACUCCAAAAAUGAACAAUGAUUACGCAUGGUAUACAGUUCAAUGUACAAGAAGUUAAUCAAAAGACACCAUAUUUCCUGUUUUUGCGCUAUUUCAGCAACAAAAAUAAUCCAAAACACAACCACAGCAUUAUUUUGCAACUCUGAGCAACAAGCAGCAUUUUGUUCCUGAAUGAAUCAUUCAUUUAAAUGAUUUUUUCCAAAAAAGAUUUUUACAGUGACUUACUUCCACCUACUGGUGGUUUUAAUUUCACAGAGUAUCUUUUAUUAUCUAAAUAAUUUCAAAUAGCAGUCUUAAUUUUAAAUAAUAAUAAUAAUUUUUAAAAAGUGUUAAAACUUAUUGGAAAAUAUUAAUUUUGUGACCACCACACAGAAUAUAAAAAUUAUCAAAAAAAAAAAAACUUAAGGUACCAGCACAAUAACACACUCCACAAACUAUCCUCUAAUCUUUAUCAAGGUAUUAUUUUUGGCCAAUAUUGCACACCCCUAUUUUCUAGUUGACUUGGCUCCAGAUACAUUAUUAUCAUCAUUCAAAAAGAAGUCAUUACAUUUUUUAGGAGAAAUUAAUACUUUUAUUCAGCAAGGAUGCAUUUAAUUAAUCCAAACACAAGAACAAGAGUAAAAUCGAGAUCAGGUGGUUAAAGUAUUUUCAGUUUCUGACUGACUCCAUUUACUCUAACAAGUAGUGCUUAAAUACUUCAGAUUAUGAAAAGCUCCCAAGUGCUAAAAACCCAACCAGACAGAAUGUAGUAACACUUCAGUUGGUUGCAAAAAUCUUCAAGCUGUAUUCUUACCAAACACAGCUGACAAAAUAAUGUUUUACCAUCUAUAUGGAAAAGCAAAGCAACUGCCCAAAAAGCUGAAAUAAAGAAAUUUUCCCCUUUUCUUUCACUACGUGCACUUGAGGAAGACCAAAUUUUUGCCCAAAUAAGUCUUCAAACCGAACACUUCACACUACAGAUGAUUGAGGAAGCAAGUGCAAUCAGCACUUCCUUAUAAUGACCAGGACAGAUGGAGUGACAGACAUGAGUUGGUACAGACUUCUUUCUGCCUUAGAAAAAAAGGUUUGACUCAUCUGAUUGGCUUUGCUGAUAGCUGGAUUUCAUAUGAGUGAAUUCAUUUGCUGUUGGUGGAAUGAAAUCAAGUUGGUUGAGUAAUUAUAAAAAACAAAAAGAAGGAACAAGGAAACUAAUGUUUAGCUAUAUUUGUGAAUUGUAUGUUUAAAACAUCUUCUUGUUAUCCAGUUAUCUACUUUCAAGUACUCUCGAAAACUUUACCAAGCAAGUCUGAACUUGAAUAAAAAGUUUAGGAAUCUUU
Puntigrus tetrazona (Sumatra barb) is the source of this 2728-nucleotide long non-coding RNA. RefSeq lists it as uncharacterized. Lineage: Eukaryota; Metazoa; Chordata; Actinopteri; Cypriniformes; Cyprinidae. The record is from RefSeq and is a predicted model, not a curated record. The transcript is spliced from 3 exons.